CUCCUCCUCCUCCUCCUUUUUUGCAAACUUCUCCAACAAGAAACAAGGUAAAGGAACCUCAGGCAGAAUAUUUAUAGCUAAAAAAAAAUAUCACACCUAAAAAAAAAAAAAAAAAAAAUAGAUCGAAGUUGCUACGCCAAAAGGAGAGGAGGUUGAGGAGGAGGGAAAAGUACCGGACGAAAGCAGGAGGAGCAGGUAGAGUAUAAAAGGUGGAAGUCCUGAGCAGAGAAGCGUCAUUCCUUCCCGAGUCUUCAAGAACACGAAGCAAGAUGCUGAGUCUUCGCGGUGUGAUGGUGCUGAUGGUGCUGAUGUCGGUGGUGGUCUGCGUCUGUGUGGCCGAGGCGCACCGCUACCGCGGAGGCGGCGGCUAUUAUCGCGGAAGCAACGAACGAGGCAGCUAUGAAAGCUACAGAGGUGGUUACGGCCAUGGCAGCAGGCCUUACUAUGGCGGAGGCGGCGGUUACCCCAGGCCCUACCACUGAUUUCCCUCAUUCCUCCCAGGAUCCUCGCUUCCCCAUGACGGCCAUUUGAAGCACCCUGUCUUGACCUCUUGAUUAAAAAUAUGGCAUGUUUGA
Scylla paramamosain (green mud crab) is the source of this 575-nucleotide long non-coding RNA. RefSeq lists it as uncharacterized. Lineage: Eukaryota; Metazoa; Arthropoda; Malacostraca; Decapoda; Portunidae. The transcript is spliced from 2 exons. The record is from RefSeq and is a predicted model, not a curated record.